CUGACUGCUAUCGGAUUGGUACUAAGCCAUGCGAGUCAUUGUAGCAAUACAAGGCGGACGGCUCAGUAACACGUAGUCAACCUAACUCGUGGACGUGGAUAACCUCGGGAAACUGAGAAUAAACCACGAUAGAUCAUAGUGCCUGGAAUGGCUUAUGGUCCAAACAGUUUACUGCCAUGGGAUGGGACUGCGGCCUAUCAGCUUGUUGGUGAGGUAAUGGCCCACCAAGGCGAUUACAGGUACGGGCUCUGAGAGGAGUAGCCCGGAGAUGGGUACUGAGACACGGACCCAGGCCCUAUGGGGCGCAGCAGGCGAGAAACCUUAGCAAUGUGCGAAAGCACGACUGGGUCAGUCCGAGUGAUUCCUGAUAAAGGAGUCUUUUGCCUGUCCUAAAAGCACAGGUGAAUAAGGGGUGGGCAAGUCUGGUGUCAGCCGCCGCGGUAAUACCAGCACCUCGAGUGGUCAGGACGUUUAUUGGGCCUAAAGCAUCCGCAGCCGGCUUUGCAAGUCUUCGGUUAAAUCCACCUGCUCAACAGAUGGGCCGCUGGAGAUACUACAGAGCUAGGGAGUGGGAGAGGCAGACGGUAUUCAGUGGGUAGGGGUAAAAUCCUCUGAUCCAUUGAGGACCACCAGUGGCGAAGGCGGUCUGCCAGAACACGUUCGACGGUGAGGGAUGAAAGCUGGGGGAGCAAACCGGAUUAGAUACCCGGGUAGUCCCAGCUGUAAACGAUGCAAACUCGGUGAUGCAUUGGCUUAUGGCCAAUGCAGUGCCGCAGGGAAGCCGUUAAGUUUGCCGCCUGGGAAGUACGGACGCAAGUCUGAAACUUAAAGGAAUUGGCGGGGGAGCAC
RNAcentral lists this ribosomal RNA (849 nucleotides) under uncultured archaeon. RNAcentral describes it as "bacterial SSU rRNA". It matches the Rfam family "Archaeal small subunit ribosomal RNA", at positions 23 to 879 of the family's 1478-position model. The record is from RNAcentral.